GAAGAACGCGGGGGGCGUGCUUAACACAUGCAAGUCGAACGGAAAGGCCUGCUUUCCCUUGUGGAUUGCGGGUACUCGAGUGGCGAACGGGUGAGUAACACGUGAGUGAUCUGCCCCCAACUUGGGUAUAAGCCUGGGAAACUGGGUCUAAUUCCCGAUAGGACUGCAGGGUGGUGCCUGUGGUGGAAAACGAUUUUCUAGUGGUUGGGGAUGAGCUCGCGGCCUAUCAGCUUGUUGGUGGGGUAAUGGCCUACCAAGGCGGCGACGGGUAGCCGGCCUGAGAGGGUGGACGGCCACAUUGGGACUGAGAUACGGCCCAGACUCCUACGGGAGGCAGCAGUGGGGAAUAUUGCACAAUGGGCGGAAGCCUGAUGCAGCGACGCCGCGUGGGGGAUGACGGCCUUCGGGUUGUAAACUCCUUUCGACCGCGAGGAAGCCACCUGGUUGGAAGGGUGGUGACGGUAGUGGUAGAAGAAGCACCGGCUAACUACGU
This 493-nucleotide ribosomal RNA is filed under the name uncultured bacterium. RNAcentral describes it as "partial 16S ribosomal RNA". It matches the Rfam family "Bacterial small subunit ribosomal RNA", at positions 28 to 506 of the family's 1533-position model. The record is from RNAcentral.